UACGUAGGGUGCAAGCGUUGUCCGGAAUUAUUGGGCGUAAAGAGCUCGUAGGCGGUUUGUCGCGUCUGCUGUGAAAACUCGGGGCUUAACCCCGGGCCUGCAGUGGGUACGGGCAGACUAGAGUGCGGUAGGGGAGACUGGAAUACCUGGUGUAGCGGUGAAAUGCGCAGAUAUCAGGAAGAACACCCGUGGCGAAGGCGGUUCUCUGGGACGGUACUGACGCUGAGACGCGAAAGCGUGGGGAGCGAACAGG
RNAcentral lists this ribosomal RNA (253 nucleotides) under uncultured bacterium. Its description in RNAcentral is "partial 16S ribosomal RNA". It matches the Rfam family "Bacterial small subunit ribosomal RNA", at positions 524 to 776 of the family's 1533-position model. The record is from RNAcentral.